AUCUAGGACAAUAGGAUUUACCUAGUAUUGCCUGUUGUGCAAAUCUCCUAGGAACUUUUCACCUGCUUCUGCUACGGGAAAUGAUUGGAUAUCCGUUUGCAUUUCCUCUUCUUCAUGUGUGGAAACUUUUGUUCACUGUGCUUCAGGCUGGACCUGGCCUGAAAGUGGGUCCUUGAAUUCCCUUUGUACCAUUCCAACUGGUCAAGCUGGUUAUGAGACCUGAGGAAAGUGUUUAGGCAUGGACUUGGUACCAAGUAAAUUUUACCUUGGUACCAAUGUAAAUCCAGUUGGUACUUGGUACCAACUUUGGGCCCCCAAGAUAAGGGCAUUUGUAGCUGCACCAGAAGACAGGGAACAAUGAAAACUAAGAUUACGCCCUCUGUGAUGAUCUUCACCACCACCAGUACCCCCAAUGCCUUUAUGAACGAAGGACUAACGUAACACCAAGGACUCCCAUAUGAAGAGGACCUUCCUGGAUCUGUAACUGGGAUUAACUAGUUCUUUACUUGGAGAGAAAGUUUCUCCAAAUUCUCAGGAUAAAGCCAAACAGGCCUGUGACUGUCCCUUGAAUAGUGACAGUGUAAACAAGCUUCUAGCUCCCCCAGGUCAAGCUGAGAACCACUUUUCAUUAGAAUGUUGGGUUUCUUCUUUGUUAUUCAAACAUACACCCACACACAUCCUCUUCACCCUCCCUAAUGAAAAACCUCAACAGAUGGAGAGCCUAGGCUCCCAAGACUUAUGGCUGAGAAGAUGCACUCCACUCAAGGGUUGGUUGGCAGCGGGCCAUUCGCGCAGCCUCAUCUCUCUACCCAGCUUUAAUUCACAUUUGAUGCCUGGACAGAACAACAGGGGCUCCCGAACAGCUGCCACCCCCAUCCAUGGACCUGGGCUUUAGGCCCUGAGCCCUUUCAGGCCCCAGGAGGAUCCGCCACAACCUCGCUGUACGCCCUCCCAGCGGUCUUUAUAAGAAAAAAAGCAGAGCUGGUCCAGGCCUGAGCCAGAGAGCCACCUCCUCCUGGAGCAGCUAACGAGGUAAAUCUCUCAGAGACCAAUGCCCAAAGCGAAGCCCGGCCCUUCCCGACCUCCAGGCGUGGGCCCAACAGCGCUAUUGUGAGGCCUUGCCCGACGGAGAGCCCUUGGGGAAGCCGCGCACACAAAGGCGCAGGGGCUCCGGGAAGCCGGGGUUGCUCGGGCGCCCUCAACCUAGGGCGGGACAGUCGAGGCCUUGUGCACUCCGCGAUUGUACCCCGUGCGGCCGUCCCGGACAAAAGUCACGGACCAGCGUGGAGGUUUCCUUCCCCUGCCAACCUUCCCCUUCCCGCUCCAGGCCACACACUCCCCCACGUCCCCGGGAAGGAGAGGCCCGGCCCUGGGCGCCAUUGCCCAGUCGGUACUCCCCUCCCCCACUCUCUUCUUUCUCUGCUUUUCCGAGACCCGGGAGGGAGGAGGCGGGCGCCUCCACGGAUAGAGCAGCUAUUGUGACCUUCCCUCGCCGAGCGGGAACCCAACCGAGUGUACGGCUGGCGGGGGAGGAGGUGACUGUGCAGACCUCGGGGUGCAGAGGGGGUGGUGCUGGGGAAUAAAUAAAGGUUUGCAAACUUGGGCA
Long non-coding RNA from Suricata suricatta (meerkat), 1606 nucleotides. RefSeq lists it as uncharacterized. The transcript has 3 exons. The record is from RefSeq and is a predicted model, not a curated record. Lineage: Eukaryota; Metazoa; Chordata; Mammalia; Carnivora; Herpestidae.